CCUACGGGUGGCUGCAGUGAGGAAUAUUGGUCAAUGGGCGCGAGCCUGAUCCAGCCACGUAGCGUGAACGAUGACUGCCCUACGGGUUUUAAACUUCUUUUAUAAAGGAAUAAAGUGAGGCUCGUGUGCCUUUUUGUAUGUACUUUAUGAAUAAGGAUCGGCUAACUCCGUGCCAGCAGCCGCGGUAAUACGGAGGAUCCGAGCGUUAUCCGGAUUUAGUGGGUUUAAAGGCAGCGUAGAUGGGUUGUUAAGUCAGUUGUGAAAGUUUGGGGCUCAACCGUAAAAUUGCACUUGAUACUGGCAGUCUUGAGUACAGUAGAGGUAGGCGGAAUUCGUGGUGUAGCGGUGAAAUGCUUAGAUAUAACGAAGAACUCCGAUUGCGAAGGCAGCUUACUAAACUGACACUGACAUUGAGGCUCGAAAGUGUGGGUAGCAAACAGGAUUAGAUACCCUUGUAGUC
This 460-nucleotide ribosomal RNA is filed under the name uncultured bacterium. RNAcentral describes it as "partial 16S ribosomal RNA". It matches the Rfam family "Bacterial small subunit ribosomal RNA", at positions 338 to 795 of the family's 1533-position model. The record is from RNAcentral.